GACAUGUAGCUCAGUGGUAAGAGUGUGUACAUGGUAGGCACAAGGCCCUGGGUUUAAUCCCCAGCACUGCCA
Molecule: non-coding RNA, 72 nt
Organism: Ictidomys tridecemlineatus (thirteen-lined ground squirrel)
Lineage: Eukaryota; Metazoa; Chordata; Mammalia; Rodentia; Sciuridae
Source: Rfam